ACAAAAAAAAUGCACAACAUUCACAACAAACACAGACUUUCAGUCUGUUUUCCCCCUCUCAGCAACUAGUCGGAGCCGGUUAACCGGUCGGAGAAGGGGUUCCGAUGAGACAACCCUCCGACACCGCGACCGCUCAUCACCCCCCCCCCCCCGUUCCUCACUCAAGUGCGGCCGACACUCACAGCUCACCCCUCUCUCUCGCCGGCGAAGAUAGAUGGCCAGACUCCGGCCAGUCACAGCGAAGCCGGCAACGGUAGUGAACCCCGACCGACGGUGGUUCAGUUCUCCGGACCAGACACCCUUUCGAUUUCCCCCCUCUGUUAAUCGGCCAACCACCACCAUCUUCUGGUGGUGGCGGACUACAGCAGCAACACCACCACCACAGGCGGCGGCGCUGUGGUGGGUGGUGCCGGUCAAAACUUCGAAGAAAGAGGAAGAUCGGAGUCUCGGUCCGGCGGUCGGAGCCUUGGACCGGCGGUCGGAGCCAAGGCCCGUCGGUCUUUUCCAUUAUCCGAUGGAUUCACGACGAUAAAGACGGUGGUGGUGCCAUUUCAGGUUCGGGAUUAGCAGAUCAGAUUAUGACUUAGCUCGGUUCGACUCGGUGUAUUUCAGCUUAACUCGGUUCGACUUGGUGUAACUCAGUCCAACUCGGCUCGACUCAGUUCAUUACGGCUCGACUCAGUUCAUCACGCCUCAACUUAGUCAACAUGAGUUGACUCGGUCAACUCGGUCAAACCAGUUGACUCAGUCAACUCAGUCAAGCGGCUCGAUGUAUCGACUCGAAGAAGUGGUAAAGAUUUUAACGGCGUAUUUAUUUCGUUAUGUUUAUAAUUUUAAUUCUUGCGUGACAAGCGAGCUCGACCCGAUUAAUUAACGCAUAUACAUUAGUUAUUAUCUACGUUUUGGUACUUGACGAAAAUUUCAUAUAUAUUGUUUGUUGACAAUUGUUAAA
Molecule: long non-coding RNA, 952 nt
Organism: Helianthus annuus (common sunflower)
Lineage: Eukaryota; Viridiplantae; Streptophyta; Magnoliopsida; Asterales; Asteraceae
Exons: 2
Source: RefSeq, a predicted model, not a curated record